Molecule: long non-coding RNA, 243 nt
Filed under: Panax ginseng (ginseng)
Lineage: Eukaryota; Viridiplantae; Streptophyta; Magnoliopsida; Apiales; Araliaceae
Description: long non-coding RNA (PGIN_LNC004322)
Source: RNAcentral
AUCAAGGUUAGAUACAAUCUAGAUCAGUUGGAAGUGAGAUAUCCGAAUGAAUCGGAUGAAAAAUUAUUCCAGAUGGAGGCUAGUUCAACUUUGGUGGACAAGAUAAAGGGCACCCAACUUCAAGACAAAGGAUGCGAGAAAAUCAAGGAAAGAGCGUCUGAAUGUAGUGAGGUGAAAUUCAAGAUCAAUACCAAAGGGUUACUAAGAUUCGAGGGAAGAAUUUGGGUUUUGCCAGUACCCGAG